AAUAACCUUGUGAAAUUUCAUAUUUGCCAAACUAAUCCUGUAAAAAUUUUAUUUGUGAAACUAACCCUCCUCUCGCCACCUCAGCGGCCAGAUCAGCAUUUCUCAUAAAGACGGUGAAUCGUUCACCGUCUUUAAGCAACUCUUGAAAGCGGUAAAUGGUUGACCGUCUUCUCUAGGCCUACGAUAAAGGUGCCUAGAGAAGACGGUCACUCGUUCACC
RNAcentral lists this long non-coding RNA (219 nucleotides) under Ananas comosus (pineapple). Its description in RNAcentral is "long non-coding RNA (ACOM_LNC024513)". Lineage: Eukaryota; Viridiplantae; Streptophyta; Magnoliopsida; Poales; Bromeliaceae. The record is from RNAcentral.